This 1928-nucleotide small RNA is filed under the name Pongo abelii (Sumatran orangutan). RNAcentral's name for it is "processed transcript". The record is from RNAcentral. Lineage: Eukaryota; Metazoa; Chordata; Mammalia; Primates; Hominidae.
AGUAGAUUGUACUGGCUUCGGCUUACCUGCUGUGAGCCCACUGGCAGGCUCCUGGAAGCUAGCCUUCGCCCUUGCUCUUUCACCGGCACUCCCUGCAUUAAUUUAGAAAAAGAUCCUGCAGGGAUUAACAGGACCUGAUGGAUCCCCUGGCUCCGUUGGGCCAAAGGGACAAAAAGGAGAACCUGGUGUGCCUGGAUCGCGUGGAUUUCCAGGCCGUGGUAUUCCUGGACCCCCUGGUCCUCCUGGGACAGCAGGACUCCCUGGAGAGCUUGGCCGUGUAGGACCUAUUGGAACAAUUGGCUUUCAUGAUGGAGAUCCAUUGUGUCCCAAUGCCUGUCCACCAGGUCGCUCAGGAUAUCCAGGCCUACCAGGCAUGAGGGGUCAUAAAGGGGCUAAAGGAGAAAUUGGUGAACCAGGAAGACAAGGACACAAGGGUGAAGAAGGUGACCAGGGAGAACUGGGAGAAGUUGGAGCUCAAGGACCUCCAGGAGCCCAGGGUUUGCGAGGCAUCACUGGCAUAGUUGGGGACAAAGGGGAAAAAGGUGCUCGGGGCUUAGAUGGUGAACCUGGGCCUCAGGGUCUUCCUGGUGCACCUGGUGAUCAAGGACAGCGAGGACCUCCAGGAGAAGCAGGUCCCAAAGGAGAUAGAGGCGCUGAAGGUGCUAGAGGAAUUCCUGGUCUCCCUGGGCCCAAAGGAGACACGGGUUUGCCAGGUGUGGAUGGCCGUGAUGGGAUCCCUGGAAUGCCUGGAACAAAGGGUGAACCAGGAAAACCUGGGCCUCCUGGUGAUGCAGGAUUGCAGGGGUUACCAGGUGUACCUGGAAUUCCUGGUGCAAAGGGUGUUGCUGGUGAAAAGGGUAGCACUGGUGCUCCAGGGAAGCCUGGUCAGAUGGGAAAUUCAGGCAAACCGGGCCAACAGGGGCCUCCAGGAGAGGUGGGACCCCGAGGACCCCAGGGGCUUCCUGGCAGUAGAGGAGAAUUAGGACCAGUGGGAUCCCCAGGCCUACCAGGUAAACCGGGUGUCGUCGGUGAACCGGGUCCAAAGGGUGAACAGGGUGCCUCUGGUGAAGAAGGUGAAGCAGGAGAAAGGGGGGAACUUGGAGAUAUAGGAUUACCUGGCCCAAAGGGAUCUGCAGGUAAUCCUGGGGAACCUGGCUUGAGAGGGCCUGAGGGAAGUCGGGGGCUUCCUGGAGUGGAAGGACCAAGAGGACCACCUGGACCCCGGGGCGUGCAGGGAGAACAGGGUGCCACCGGCCUGCCUGGUGUCCAGGGCCCUCCGGGUAGAGCACCGACAGAUCAGCACAUUAAGCAGGUUUGCAUGAGAGUCAUACAAGAGCAUUUUGCUGAGAUGGCUGCUAGUCUUAAGCGUCCAGACUCGGGUGCCACUGGGCUUCCUGGAAGGCCUGGUCCUCCUGGUCCCCCUGGCCCUCCUGGAGAGAAUGGUUUCCCAGGCCAGAUGGGAAUUCGUGGCCUUCCGGGCAUUAAGGGGCCCCCUGGUGCUCUUGGUUUGAGAGGACCUAAAGGUGACUUGGGAGAAAAGGGGGAGCGUGGCCCUCCAGGAAGAGGUCCCAAAGGUUUGCCUGGAGCUAUAGGUCUCCCAGGUGACCCAGGCCCUGCCAGCUAUGGCAGAAAUGGCCGAGACGGUGAGCGAGGCCCCCCAGGGGUGGCAGGAAUUCCUGGAGUGCCUGGACCCCCGGGACCUCCUGGGCUUCCCGGUUUCUGUGAGCCAGCCUCCUGCACCAUGCAGGCUGGUCAGCGAGCAUUUAGCAAAGGGCCUGACCCUUGAAAGGCUUACUGCUGCAUGGCUGUCUGCAUGAACCACGCCUGGUGGAGGAGCUUGGAUGAGAAGCUGGGGCAAAGAUGAUUACCUUCAGCAUGAUUACAAUGUAUUACCUUCAGUAUGAUUACAGAAGUCCUACUUGACAAUC